UACGUAGGGUGCGAGCGUUGCCCGGAUUUAUUGGGCGUAAAGGGCGCGUAGGCGGCUCGGCACGUCCGUUGUGAAAUCGCCCGGCUCAACUGGGCGGGGUCAGCGGAUACGGUCGAGCUUGAGCAAGCUAGGGGGUAAUGGAAUUCCCGGUGUAGUGGUGGAAUGCGUAGAUAUCGGGAGGAACACCAGUGGCGAAGGCGGUUACCUGGAGCUUUGCUGACGUUGAUGCGCGAAAGCGUGGGGAGCGAUCCGG
Molecule: ribosomal RNA, 253 nt
Filed under: uncultured bacterium
Lineage: Bacteria
Description: partial 16S ribosomal RNA
Rfam family: Bacterial small subunit ribosomal RNA
Source: RNAcentral